RNAcentral lists this ribosomal RNA (485 nucleotides) under uncultured bacterium. RNAcentral describes it as "bacterial SSU rRNA". It matches the Rfam family "Bacterial small subunit ribosomal RNA", at positions 30 to 507 of the family's 1533-position model. The record is from RNAcentral.
UUGAACGCUGGCGGCAUGCUUUACACAUGCAAGUCGAACGGCAGCACGGGUGCUUGCACCUGGUGGCGAGUGGCGAACGGGUGAGUAAUGCAUCGGAACGUGCCUAUUAGAGGGGGAUAACGCUUCGAAAGGAGUGCUAAUACCGCAUAAUCUCUGAGGAGGAAAGCAGGGGAUCUUAGGACCUUGCGCUGAUAGAGCGGCCGAUGUCGGAUUAGCUAGUUGGUGAGGUAAAGGCUCACCAAGGCGACGAUCCGUAGCGGGUCUGAGAGGAUGAUCCGCCACACUGGGACUGAGACACGGCCCAGACUCCUACGGGAGGCAGCAGUGGGGAAUUUUGGACAAUGGGCGCAAGCCUGAUCCAGCCAUGCCGCGUGAGUGAAGAAGGCCUUCGGGUUGUAAAGCUCUUUUGUCCGGGAGCAAGUCCUACUGGCUAAUAUCUAGUGGGGAUGAGAGUACUGGAAGAAUAAGCACCGGCUAACUACGUG